GUCAACAUCACCGUUUCAUGCUCUUCAAGUUUCCUUUUGUUAGAAAGGAUAUCUUUCAUGAACUUCGCAUAACUCGGCAUUUGAGCCAGAGCAUCUGCAAACGGAAUGUUAAUGUGUAGCUUUUUAAACACCUCCAAAAACUUACCAAAUUGAAUAUCCAGUUUAUGCUUCUGGAGCCUUUGAGGGAAAGGAAUAGGAGGUACAUAGGCUUUGACUGGAAUUGGAGUCUUUGAUGUUAAUGGCUCCUGUUCAUCAGUCUUACCUUCUUCAACAACCUCUUUAGGUGCU
RNAcentral lists this long non-coding RNA (288 nucleotides) under Olea europaea (common olive). RNAcentral describes it as "long non-coding RNA (OEUR_LNC012580)". The record is from RNAcentral. Lineage: Eukaryota; Viridiplantae; Streptophyta; Magnoliopsida; Lamiales; Oleaceae.